Molecule: long non-coding RNA, 3055 nt
Filed under: Zea mays
Lineage: Eukaryota; Viridiplantae; Streptophyta; Magnoliopsida; Poales; Poaceae
Description: long non-coding RNA (ZMAY_LNC000752)
Source: RNAcentral
GGAUUCAAGGUAAAGCUCAUCAAGUUUCAAAGACUAUUUUUGCAGAGAAGCUUACUAGAAGUGGGUCCUUAAGCCAAAAUUUUACGUCACAAGUUAAGUACUUUUCCUGAAUCUAGAUUUGCCUAAUCUAGAGCAUUCACUUGUCCUACACUAGCUUUCUUUUAAAAUCCAACUUUUGUUUCGCUUGUUAUCUACGAUGAGGGUCGAAGAUCUAGUCUUCAUAUCCGAGAAGUUCGGCGAUCCGAAUCGAUUAAUACCUAGCUGGGGAUCUCCAACCACACGACAUAUGCUUCUCUUAACUCUUUUGCACAUGUCUACCAUUCCCACGGAUCAAGAAAUAAGACCACACAUGAAAGUGGUAUGCCCUUUUGAUCCACCGGAGAUGACAGAUGUUGCUUGACCACUUCACAAACAACAUAGAAAUUGUUUCAAGGAGGAGGUCUACGAAAGAUAACAUAUUGAUAUAAUCUCAUAAUGGAUUAUGACUACUAACUGUGAUACUAGUGUGUGCCGAGUAGCGCAACCAUGUGCGCACACACAGAAGGCCCUCGGUUUCGUCACGGCACCACAGGUUUUAGUCAUAACACCAUUAUCAGACAUAACCAAUAAGAAAUCUCAUGCGACACAAUUGAAUUGGGCAAGGGUGACAAUGUACAAAGAGACUCUACCUAUCAAAAUGGCUACAAGUAGAGAGCCAAUAGAUCAUGGCCCGAUGAAAUGAAUAAGGCAUGGCCAUAACCAAAAAUAAAUUGAGGAGGGAGUACGAUGGGAGACUGUUAAUUCAGCCCCAAGCAUAUUUCUAUGCCCAUCAUAGAGAUCACAAGGUCAAGGAUUAAAUUGGUAUGCCUUCGAUAGGUAUGGGGAAACCAAAGGCCUCAAAUACAAGAAAAUGGUCGGACAUGUCUUUCCUAGGUUAGGUUGAUAAAGUAACAUGGCGGUCCUUAAAAACAGGCAAACUGGAUAAGGUACAUCAGCUUGCACCAACCGAACAAGGACAUGGUUUAGGAUGGAGACAUGACUCGAAAUUCUUGUUUUAAGCUGGGUACACUUUAGGUCCAACAAAGAAAUUAUCUAGGCAUUUAUUUUAAUGUGUUUGGUCCUGGAGUGAUAACGGAAAAAUUUAAGUUUUGGGUCAUGGUUCACUAAAUAAGAACAUGGCAUAAUUCUGGGUUUAGGCAAACAAGUCACUAACCUUCUAUCGACACAUCAAGCACAAAAGCAAACACCAUAUAAGACCUUAAUAGAUUACCUAAAGAAUGGAGGACACCUAUUUCAUCGAAGUUCAUAAUUCAGCAUUACAUCAUAUUAUCUACAAUCAAUGGUUACUGGAAUAAAGAUGAGAGAAGCAUCUUGGGUGUAUAGGUGACAAACAUGAUGCAACAAUCAGGAUGCAUGCUCGUCCUACACGUCCUCACUGAUUUUGCCAACCAAAUGUGGCAAUAGCGUUCUAUCUCGGUGGCAUACUUACGACUCUCACGAUAUUUCGCUAGUCGCCAACUACACAUACGUUUUCGAGGUUAGUGUACCUGCAGAAAAAUCCAUCACAACCCAUUUUUCCCAAUGAUGCAGUUCACACAUGACAGUUUAUACUCCAUAUAUUGCUAUAUGGAGGCCAACUCAUCAUUAAGCGCCGAGCCACGCAUAGGCGCCGUUGCCACACUUUAACCAUAGGGCAACUCAUUAUGGUAACUUACCUUCUUACCUAAGCGUAGGUGCGUCGUUACCAAUACAUUACACUUCUCAGUAUUCCCAUGUCUGUAUACCCAUACACAUCCAUGGGGUACUGAAUUCCCAGAAAAGUAAAUACUCCACAUCGUAGCCUUCAUAUAUACAUAUGUAGAACAUGUAUAUAAUCAAGCGCUACCAUUAAGCACUUCCCUAGACCGAUGGUUGUUCGGUCAUGCUCUCACAUCUCACCUUACCUGAGCGUCGAUCCAUUCAGAACUGAAUGGCCUCAAAAGUAACAAUACAAAUGUAUGCCAUACCCCCGGUUAUGGGUUAGUGGUUUUGAACUAAGCCACCUGAUAGUCCUUAACUUAGGGCUUAAUAGAGGAUGUCGCUAGCAUUAUAGUUUUUUUUCAAAGCUAUUUUUCAAAACUAAACAAUGUGUUUAGUUGAAAAUAGGUUUUUCAAAACCAAAAAUUUUGUUUUGAAAAUACGUAUGUGACCGUAUAUACUUAAUCCUGCUCCGAUACCAGCUGUGGCAGAACCUCCCAAGUUAUCGGGCCCACAUCACCUGUCCUUGUCUCAAAGACCUCAGACGGCUAUGCAUGUGCACCAAAUAACUUAACAGGAUCCGUCCGAGUGUCCCAAGGACCCCGGAUAAACCACUCAUAACCAGGAUCACAAGAUUAAGUAAUCACAAAUCACACACCAACAUUUUUGCAGCGGAAAUCUUAUUACCAAAUUUUACAAGUUACAUCAAGUUUUACAUUAUAUUUAUCGGAGUGGUUACAGAAGUGGUUCAAAGAAUAAACUUUGAAAUGUUAUAAAAUUAUUUAUAAGUUUGAAAUAUAUGCUAGCUCAAGUGACUAUCCUCAAUAAGAAUUAUAGAAGGGUUACUUAGAUUUAUAAGAAGGCCGAGCCCACCGGCACUUAACACCAUCAUCAGCAGCACAAAACUACAACCUGAAAAACAACAGGGAAUAAAACCCUGAGUAUGGAAUUACUCAGCAAGACUUACCCGACUAAAGAAAAGACUCUCAAGGGUAUGCUGGCUAGAGGGAUUCAAGGUAAAGCUCAUCAAGUUUCAAAGACUAUUUUUGCAGAAAAGCUUACUAGAAGUGGGUCCUUAAGCCAAAAUUUUACAUCACAAGUUAAGUACUUUUCCUGAAUCUAGAUUUGCCUAAUCUAGAGCAUUCACUUGUCCUACACUAGCUUUCUUUUAAAAUCCAACUUUUGUUUCGCUUGUUAUCUACGAUGAGGGUCGAAGAUCCAGUCUUCAUAUCCGAGAAGUUCGGCGAUCCGAAUCGAUUAAUACCCAGCUGGGGAUCUCCAACCACACGACAUAUGCUUCUCUUAACUCUUUUGCACAUGUCUACCAUUCCCACGGAUC